This 904-nucleotide ribosomal RNA is filed under the name Aurantiochytrium limacinum. RNAcentral's name for it is "partial Eukaryotic large subunit ribosomal RNA". It matches the Rfam family "Eukaryotic large subunit ribosomal RNA", at positions 1259 to 2269 of the family's 3401-position model. Lineage: Eukaryota; Bigyra; Thraustochytrida; Thraustochytriidae. The record is from RNAcentral.
AGUCGGAAUCCGCUAAGGAGUGUGUAACAACUCACCUACCGAAUGGACUAGCCCUGAAAAUGGAUGUCGCUAAGCAGUUAGCCGAUACCUCUCCGUCUGGCUCUAGGUAACCAGGCGAGUAGGAGGGCGUGAGGAUAGCGUGGAAGUGUGAAUGUGAAUUCACAUGGAGCUGUUCUUAGUGCAGAUCUUGGUGAUAGUAGCAGCUAUUCAAGAAAGACCCUUGAAGACUGAAGUGGAGAAGGGUUUCAUGAGAACAACACUUGGUCAUGAGUGACUCGGUCCUAAGGUGAUUAUAGCCGAAAGGGAAAAAGGUUAAAAUUCCUUUAGCUAGCAGUGGGUCUUGUGUGGUAACACAACUGAGCUCAGAGACGUCGGAGUGGAACCCCAGGGAGAGUUCUCUUUUCUUCUUAACAAGUCGCCGCCCUGGAGGUCGUUGUGACGAGAGAGGGCCAUAGACUUGGCAGAGCAGUGCACCCUUUGCGCUGUCUGGUGCGUUUCCUUCGACCCUUGAAAAUCUGAGGGAACUUUGAUCGCUUGCUAGGCCGUACCCACAACCGCAUCAGGUCUCCAAGGUUAGCAGCCUCUAGUGCUUAGAAUAAUGUAGGUAAGGGAAUUCGGCAAAUUCGAUCUGUAACUUCGGGAUAAAGAUUGGCUCUGAGGGUCAGGCUGUAAGCGCUGAGAAGCGGCCAGGCUCCCUCGUGGACGCCGGCUGCGCUCGGCAGUCUUGCAGCAGCGAAUGACUAACUCAGAACUGGAGCAGCGAGGGGAAUCCGACUGUUUAAUUAAAACAGAGCAUUGUGAUGGCCCCGGGGGUGUUGACACAAUGUGAUUUCUGCCCAGUGCUCUGAAUGUCAAAGUGAUGAAAUUCAAACAAGCGCGGGUAAACGGCGGGAGUAACUAUGAC